This is a long non-coding RNA of Equus caballus (horse), 4368 nucleotides long. NCBI's taxonomy places the organism in Eukaryota, Metazoa, Chordata, Mammalia, Perissodactyla, Equidae. The record is from Ensembl.
CCAGCUCUGUUCCUGUGUGGCGUGUGAUUUGUAGGAGUGACACAACUGGUUCUUCUUGGAAUAAUGGGGGUAUCGGACUAGAAUUAUUUGAAAGUUUUAAAUUUCUAAAAUUCAAGGAAAAUGGUGACAAAUCCAAAUAGAAUCGAUCUCUAACAUCUUUUUUUUUAAUCACUUAUGGAAGAAACGUGUGAAGAACUUCCAUCCGGAAAUGAACGACUCGACAAGGAAAGUCAAACCAUUCAUCUUAUCUGAAUUACUUCUGCCUACCUUGAUAUACCUUCUCCCACUGCUUUUCCUCUCUGACAUUUUAAAUUGUCUUAAUUCUCUUUAACUUGACUUAUUUCCUUCAGCCAUAUAUCUGUCUGUUGAAUCUUUUUUCUAUGUUUGUGUUCUCGAUCUUUUGUUGGUUUCAUUUCCCCUGUAUUGUUUUCUACAUUCCAGAAAGGAAGAAAAAUUACAUCAUGACAUCCUCUGGCUACCCAAGGACAUAACAUUUUAGAUGCAGGCUGCCAAGGGAGGAAGAUGUGUGAGGCACUGCCAGCCAUGCCAGCCAGACAGUGGUGGAGUCUUUGAGGUGCAAGAAAGCCUGUAAGUUUUUAAGAUGUAUGAAGGUCAUUGUGAUAAAUGUUUUCCAAGCACUUGUCAUAGAGGACAGCUAUGAUAAAACCACAAGGACCACAGCUGCAUGUAAGGAACAUAUAGGUAGCUGCAGAUGAAUGCUCAGGUCUAUGGUGUUUAGAAAUUUUUCAUUGCCUCAAGUGUGUCAUGCAAUAUUUUGGAAGGAAAAAUGAGGACUUGGUCAAGAACAGAUGGAUAGAAGCAAGCGAUAAAAAUCAAUAUUUUAUUUGACAUUGAUAAGCUCACAAUAAAUUUGUAGAAAAAGCAAAACAAAAUAAUUAAUCUAUCAUUGAUGAUUCAGUUUCUGCUAUGUGUAAGUUCUAAAGACUGUUUGAGUUGAAAGCAAUCAAUUAGGCAUUAGUUAGGGUUGGCAAGUCACUUUUUGGAUCACUCUUUAGAUCAAGAGAUUACCACUUACUUUUCUAAUUUUCCAAAAUGCAUGGCACAUUAAUUAAGAUUAGGCUUGGCUAUAAAUAAUAGAAAACUCACAAUAAUAGUGAUAACCAAGAUAGAAGUUUUUUCUUGGGGCCAGCCCAGUAGCCAAGCAGUUAAGUUCAUGCGCUCUGCUUUGGCGGCCCAGGGUUUGCAGGUUUGGAUCCUGGGUAUGGACCUACACACCACUCAGCAAGCCAUGUUGUGGUGGCAUCCCACAUAGAAGAGCUAGAAUGACUUACAACUAGGAUAUACAACUAUGUACUGGGGCUUUGGGAAGAAAAAAAGAGGAAGAUUGGCAACAGAUGUUAGCUGAGGGCCAACACUCUUCACCAAAAAAACUAUAUAUAUGUUUUUUUUUAAAAAAGAAGUUUGUUUCUUGCUUAUAUACAUACAAUCUGGAAGUAGGCACCUAGAACCAGUAUGGAAGCUCCAGGAUGCUCCUAUGUGCUGCUCUGUCAGUCUCGGAGGAAGAUCGCUGCUGGGAUUUAACCAUUUACAUCUUCAUUCCAGCCAGCAAGAAGAAGAAUAUACAGAGGUAUAAUAACUGCAUUGAAGUGGAUUUGUCAUCUAAUAGCCUUAAAUGAUCCCUCUCUUUCGGCUGCAUUUCCCUCCAUUAUUUACUAUGCCUCCCAAUAGCUUAUCAUCCACUGCUGUCUACUUUCCUCUUUGUCCUUAAUUUCCUAAGACAGAUUUCCACUUAAGAGACUGAGAAACUAUUAGAUGGAGAGUUUCCACAAACCACAGGAGCAUAAGGUCUUCUGCAAAGAGACACAUUCACCUACUAUGGGUUAAAGAGAGAAAGUUGCAUUACAUCUUCCACACUGACAAACCCAGAUGCUAUCAACGUGAAGAGGACAUAAUUGCAUUUGAAUUGAGGAAAUCUACAUGCAUAACUCUUAUUAACACAAAUACGAUAGAAGCUAAGUGUCUAAAUUCCUGUGCAGAGGAAAAAGAAGUAGCUAUAUUCCCAGUCUAAUGUAAAACAUGGCCUCCUAUAUUUGAGUUGGAAUUUUCAUAACUGUUUAGUAUUAGUCUGUGAGUUGUUCUAGGGACAGGCAAUAUCAAAGAAGAAAACAGUACUCAAUCUCCAUAAAACAUUUUAGCAACACUUAGAGAAGCAGACUACUCGAUAUUUAUUUUGGAAAUUAGCCAGCUAUCUACAAUAUGUUUUCAAAUUAUGCAUGCAUUGGUAGUAUUCCAUUGCAAUUGGCAAGGCCACUAUAUAUCUUUAUCUUUGCUAUAUUUGGAACACAGGAAAAUGUCAGUAUUUCCUUUCAUGGUAACAUUUUGGAGCUAACAAUAUUCACUAGUAUGAAAAGCAUUUUCUGAUCAAAAGAGUUGUUCUUAAAUAUGUGUUUGUUCCGUGGCUGGCCCAGUGGCAUAGUGGUUAACUUCACGUGCUCCACAUCGGUUGGGGGGGUUCGCCGGCUGGGAACCACUCAUCAAGCCAUGCUGUGUUGGCAUCCCACAUAGAAGAGCUAGAAGGACUUACAACUAGGAUAUACAACUAUGUACUGGGGCUUUGGAGGGAAAAAAAGGGGGGGAAGAUUGGCAACAGAUGUUAGCUCAGGGCCAAUAUUCCUCACAAAAAAAAGAAAAAAAUUAUGUGUUUGUUCAAAGAUUAUAUGACAUGUUGAAGAUUAUGUCUUUAUAGAUCUUUUCAUUUAAUUUGUAAUGACUUCAAAUGAUUAAAAAGAAUACAAAUGAAUUAUUUAACUUCUCAAAAGAAAAAUAAAAUAAUAUGACCAUGCCCUACAUAAUUUUGACAAAUUAUCCACCAGUGAUAAAUAAAUUACAUGGGUUGAUUAUUGAACCAAACACUACCAUCUAAGUCAUGUUGCUAUGCAUCACCAGGUGGCUUUUUAUUUACCUUGUCUGAAUGGAGUUCUAUACCUUCAAUCUCCUUAUAAGUCCCUGCUAAGACUCGAGAAAUUCUUGACGGAGGGUGUGGGAGGGGGUUGAGUUAGAAGCAUCAUGAGGACACAUAAGUGUUGGUAAGGUUUGGACAAAUUAUUACAGCAUAGGCAGCAAACUUGAAGCAUAUGGAAGCAACUAUCUUUAGUUUUGAACCUAAGAAUUAAGUGACUAAAUUUUAAACUUUUCACUUGUUUUUCAUCUAUAUUUAUUUCAUGUUAUUAGAUAUUUAUUAGAUUCAGAGACUCAUUUGCUCUGUGUGUACUUUGUUACUCAAGGCCAUACUUAUUUCAUCAUGAGAAACAUUUAUGCUAUGUCUACACUCAACACUAAUGCAUAUAUGACCCAAAACAUGUGGUUUGGCUGUGUCUGUGUAUACAUCUGACACAAGGUAUAAUGACAACAAAAAGAACAAAUACACAAAUAUAACGAUCAAUAAUUCCCAUCACCACCAUCUUAUAUUUAAGCAUGUACUCCUUGUGAGACUAAAUACUUUACACAGGAAUUUGGGGGGACAUAACUCCAUGGAGCACUUUUUUUUUUUUCGAGGAAGAUUAGCCCUGAGCUAACAUCUGCCAAUCCUCCUCUUUUUUGGUGAGGAAGACUGGCCCUGAGCUAACAUGCAUGCCCAUCUUCCUCUACUUUAUAUGUGGGAUGCCUACCAGAGCAUGGCCUGCCACGCGGUGCCAUGUCUGCACCGGGAUCAGAACCGGCAAAUCCCAGGCCGCCGAAGGGGAACAUGCGCACUUAACUGCUGCGCCACCAGGCCGGCCCUUUGGGGCACAUUUUUACCAAUGAAGAAACUAUGUCACAAGAGAGGUUAUGUUACAUACCAAAAGUAAAUGGCUAGUAAAAGAUACUGUCUAAAUUUGAAAGCAGUUUCAUAUUUGUUGAAGUACUUGAAUAAAUGAAUAAAUCAAUAAAUGAUUCUAAAGCUCACAUUUUUUUCCAUGUUGAUAGAUUCACAGCAUUUAUUUUCUAAAAGCCCAUGUUUCUUAACCAUUUACACUAACACAAUAAUUCUGAAUUUACCAAUCAGGUCCUGAUUAGGCAAUAAGGAGAAACCUGAGUAUAUAAAUACACUGGGUGUAUGUAUUCUGCAAAUCUUUUUGAAUUAGUAAAGUUAAGUGACUCAUUUGAAGGUCUCUAAUGAGAGUAGGGUCAUGGCUAGAACACAGAUAUUUCUGACUCCUUGUCCAAUGUAGUUCCCAUCCAGUGACACCUGUUACUUAGUGACAGCUACCAUCAUCUAGGAUACCUUAUAUCUAUAUAGAUAUAGAUAUGUUAUAUCUAUAUAUUGGGAGCAGUUAAAAAAUCAAAAGGCACAUCUUAUUUAUCACCUGCCAUCACAUAAGAUAAAUCCUGUUUUUUUUCCUAUACAUUGUACCCUCUGAUUCUACA